GCCCAAUGACAUAGUUAAAUGGCCGCGGUACCCUGACCGUGCUAAGGUAGCAUAAUCAUUUGCCUCUUAAUUGGUGGCUAGUAUGAAUGGACACACGCAAGCAUCGCUGUCUCAUUAGUAUAAAUAAAAACUAACCUUUAGGUGAAGAGACCUAAAUAAUAUAAAAAGACAAAAAGACCCUAUGGAGCUUUAUUUUUACUCCUCUGCAGCACAAUAUAUUAAAAUUCCUCACAGGACUAACAAAUUUAGUUGGGGCGACUCAGGAAAACAAUAAAUCUUCCUUGCACAAUAAGAAAAUAAAUCAUCCAAUGAUCCGCUAUGCGAAUACAGAUCCAGCUACCCUAGGGAUAACAGGCUAAUUCUUCUCGAGAGCCCGAAUUGACAGAAGAGAUUGGCACCUCGAUGUUGGCUUAGGGUCCCUACAAGAUGCAGCAGUCUUGAAAGUAGGUUUGUU
RNAcentral lists this ribosomal RNA (454 nucleotides) under Laonice norgensis. Its description in RNAcentral is "partial 16S ribosomal RNA". It matches the Rfam family "Bacterial large subunit ribosomal RNA", at positions 1861 to 2581 of the family's 2925-position model. Lineage: Eukaryota; Metazoa; Annelida; Polychaeta; Spionida; Spionidae. The record is from RNAcentral.